This 74-nucleotide transfer RNA is filed under the name Caudoviricetes sp. RNAcentral describes it as "tRNA-Met". It matches the Rfam family "tRNA". Rfam says of the family: Transfer RNA (tRNA) molecules are approximately 80 nucleotides in length. The record is from RNAcentral. RNAcentral also lists the same sequence under 1 other name. Lineage: Duplodnaviria; Heunggongvirae; Uroviricota; Caudoviricetes.
AUCUCGAUGGUGUAAUUGGUCAGUCACGGCGCUCUCAUAAGGCGCAAGUCGGGGUUCGAGUCCCUGUCGAGAUA